UUUGAUCUGAUGUUGUGUUUUGUGUUUGAUCUGAUGUUGUGUUUGAUCAGGGCCCUGUUUCACGAAGCAGGUUCACUGAAAACUCUGAGUUUCUUAACCCUGAAAUGAGGUAAACUCAGAGUUUUCUGUUUCACGAAGCGAGGUAACUUAACCCUGAGACAGAGGGGUAACUCUAGCCUGUUUCACAAAGAGGGGUAACUUCAACUCUCGGUCAGUUACCGCAGUAACAGACUCUAUGACUCUAACCUGGUCACCAGCAGGUUUAUCUGAGAAAACCUCGAGUUUCUCUCCGUCUCCGCCCUCUUUCAGCCACACGCUGUUUCAUUUCCUCAUUCAUUCAGUCAGUAAGCGAGCGAGUUUUGGCGUAGAACAGCUUUUAUUAACGAUCCAGUGGAUAAAGGAGCAGCAUUACUGCACAGAUAAUUAAAUAUUCGUCGGUAGAUUGUUAUCAGACCGAGCAUAAAUGUUCUCGCAUUUCCGGACAAUUAUCGGUUUGAGCGGUACCGUUUCGUAAUCGUUUCAAGUCCAUAAUCUACAUAAACAACCUAAUCCGUCCUUACAUUUACAUUACCAACCAGUCAUGCUCUCACAUCCAGCAGAUAUUGUGUGUUGCGCUGCGGUUCUUUUCAAAUGAAAGUUUUUAUAUAAUGUCAGAGAUGCAGAGUAAGACAACUGUAUGGAGGACAGUCAGAAAAGUUUUCCUGGCUCUGAAACCACUUUCACUCAUCAUUGUGGACAUAAACCUGUCAGAACAUCAAGGAGGAUCCACAGGAUUGCAGGUGAAUGAUGUAGAGAUCUGUUAAAUUCAUUUUAAAUCAUAUUCUGUUAAUGACAUUGUGCUGCAGCCUCAGACUGGGAUUAGUCAUUUUAAUUUCUUUUAGGAUUUCCCAGUGUGAUUGGCUGCAUAGAUGCACACACAUCCCCAUCACAGCUCCCUCACAUCAUGAACAGGAAGUCCAUUCACAGCAUAAAUGUGCAGAUCAUAUGUGAUGCUGCAUACAUCAUUUCUAAUGUGGAGGCCACGUGACCUGGGUCUGUUCAUGACUCCAGGAUUUAUGGAGAGUCUAACCUGAGCAACAGACUGCAGCGUGGAGAGUUUGAUGGCCUUCUGCUGGGUGACAGGGGUUACCAUGACAACCCAGGCUGAUGACCUCAUAUCCUGACCCUGAACCAGGCCCCCAACAGAACUUCAACCGGACUCACUGCAGGACCAGAGCCCGGGUGGAGAUGACCGUAGGCCUGCUGAAAGCCCGUUUCCAGAGCCUACGUCUCCUCAGGGUGACCCCUGAGAGGGCCUGUGAUAUUACUGUGGCAUGUGUUGUUCUUCAUAAUAUUACCACUAUUAGAGGAGAGCAACACCCUGCCCUACAAACUGAAGACCCAGAUGAUGAGCUCUGCAGACAUUUAGGCUGUGUGGAUAAAACAACUGCACAGUCAAACAGUCACUUAAUAUUUAGGCUACUUUACAAUGUAAAACAUGAUCAACAUGAAGUACCUCCAUGAGAUAAUGCCGAGGUCUGACCUGUUUGAACAAUGUUUUUAUAUUUCAUCUUAAGCUUCUCCCCCGCAGGAUUUCCCCUAAAUGAAAUAACUUAAUAUUCUACCAUUCAGACAGUUAUUCCCUGUAAUAUUAUUAUGAUUACAAAGGACUACAUUUAAACUUACGCAUUGAUCCGGGCUGUUCUCCACGCCGUCUCUCUCUCUUUUGCAGCUGCAGCGGUGUUGCACUUCUUUCUAAAAACGUGUUCAAACUCGCCAUAUGAGCGCGUUAAAAACUUCCAGUUCAAAAACGCAGCCUUUCGCUUCCCCGUUGCCAUGGUGACUCGUCGAAUCGGGGUUCCACUGAUGCUGUCUUUUCAGACUUGCGGUGCACGCGCGUAACUCCGAGUGAAACUACUCCGAGUUGAUUAACCCAACUCAUAUCAGCCGUUGUGAAACCGAAAACUCAGAGUUUUCUAUCUCAGAGUAGAUCAACUCAGAGUUGAGGAAGAAACUCAGAGUUUCUUGAACCUGCUUCGUGAAAUAGGCCCCUGGUGUUGUGUUUGAUCCGGUGUUGUGUUUUGUGUUUGAUCUGGUGUUGUG
Acanthochromis polyacanthus (spiny chromis) is the source of this 2082-nucleotide long non-coding RNA. RefSeq lists it as uncharacterized. The record is from RefSeq and is a predicted model, not a curated record. NCBI's taxonomy places the organism in Eukaryota, Metazoa, Chordata, Actinopteri, Pomacentridae. The transcript is spliced from 3 exons.